UAUCUCUGUAGAGUCUGCAUAUCAAUAAGCGGAGGAAAAGAAACUAACUAGGAUUCCCUCAGUAACGGCGAGUGAAGCGGGAAGAGCUCAAAUUUGAAAUCUUCAAGGUUUUACCUUGACGAAUUGUAGUUUAAAGAAGUGUUUUCUGUUGGAGUUUUGAUAAAAGUUCUUUGGAAUAGGACAUCAUAGAGGGUGAGAAUCCCGUAUUUGACCAUUAUUUCCAGCUUUGUGAUACACUUUCAAAGAGUCGGAUUGUUUGGGAAUGCAGUCCAAAAUGGGUGGUAAAUUUCAUCUAAAGCUAAAUAUUGGCGAGAGACCGAUAGCGAACAAGUACCGUGAGGGAAAGAUGAAAAGAACUUUGAAAAGAGAGUUAAACAGUACGUGAAAUUGUCAAAAGGGAAGCGUUUGACACCAGUGUUGUUUUCUCGAAAAUCAAUUAAAAAGUGUUGGAUUUUGUAUUGUUAAGACCUUAUCAGCUUACUGCACUCUUUUCCUUGCUCUUUUUAAUGCACUUUUCGUUUAACAAGUCAACAUCAAUUUCUUUUGUUGUAAAAGAGUCAUUGGAAGGUGGCUUUCACUUUCGGUGAAAGUGUUUAUAGCCUUUGGCUUCUGCAAUCGGAGAGAUUGAGGUCUGCAGCGUAGAUCCUUCGGGGUUAGAUACAUUUGUGCUAAGUUAUAGCCUUUCAUAGACAACUUGUUGACUAUGAUCAGUCAUGUAGCUUACUCGCUGGAUGCUAUUUUACCUACGCUUAGGAUGUUGAGUCAUCACACAUCUCU
Molecule: ribosomal RNA, 777 nt
Filed under: uncultured Neocallimastigales
Lineage: Eukaryota; Fungi; Neocallimastigomycota; Neocallimastigomycetes; Neocallimastigales
Description: partial large subunit ribosomal RNA
Rfam family: Eukaryotic large subunit ribosomal RNA
Source: RNAcentral